GACGAACGCUGGCGGCGUGCCUAACACAUGCAAGUUGAGCGACCAACCAGGGCUUGCCCUGGGGCAAAGCAGCGAACGGGUGAGUAACACGUGGGUAACCUACCCCGCUAACCGGGACAACCCAAGGAGACUCGGGCUAGUACCGGCUGUGCUCACUGUUCUUCGGUUCAGUUCGUAAAGGAAGCUUCGGCCUCCUUAUCGUGAUGGGCCCGCGGCCCAUUCGUUAGUUGGUGAGGUAACGGCUCACCAAGCCCGCGAUGGGUAGCUGGUCUGAGAGGACGAUCAGCCACACUGGAACUGAGACACGGCCCAGACUCCUACGGGAGGCAGCAGUGGGGAAUCUUGCGCAAUGCGCGAAAGCGUGACGCAGCAACGCCGCGUGGGUGAAGAAGGCCUUCGGGUUGUAAACCCCUUUCAGGAGGGACGAAGGUUCGGCGGUGAAUAGGCGCCCGGAUUGACGGUACCUACACAAGAAGCCCCGGCUAACUACGUG
This 493-nucleotide ribosomal RNA is filed under the name uncultured bacterium. Its description in RNAcentral is "partial 16S ribosomal RNA". It matches the Rfam family "Bacterial small subunit ribosomal RNA", at positions 28 to 507 of the family's 1533-position model. The record is from RNAcentral.